Long non-coding RNA from Dromaius novaehollandiae (emu), 549 nucleotides. RefSeq lists it as uncharacterized. The transcript has 4 exons. NCBI's taxonomy places the organism in Eukaryota, Metazoa, Chordata, Aves, Casuariiformes, Dromaiidae. The record is from RefSeq and is a predicted model, not a curated record.
GUUGAGAAAAAGGAGUUUUCACUCAGUCCUUCUCUCUCUCUCCUAUUUAGUCUGUAGUCACAAUGAAAAUAACAAAAUCUCUCUCUCUCAGGAGCUCUUCUUCCCCUCCUGAGCCUGCCUCAGAAAGAACUCAAAGCAACAGAAAGCGUUGAACAAAAAAGUAACCUUCGGGGGCAUGAGAUGUGCUCCAACAUGUGCUGACGGGAACAGUCCGAGAAGACUGGCUACACAAGCUCUCCGAGGAAUAUAAAAGGUGGUUGCAGAGUUUUAUAGAGAAGAUAAGCCAAUGGCUUGCAGCUCUGAAUGGCUUGCAGUCUCAUUCAAUCAGCAGUUCAGACGGAAGCAGAGUUCAAGAGAGGAGACAUGCCGAUGGGAAAGAGAAGAUAAAUCACGCUGAGUAAAUCUGGAUUUUAAACUGCCUCUAAUGAUCAACAGCAAUCAUACAAAUAUUUUCUUCUGUUUUUAUAGUAUUUGUGUUUAAGCUGACGGUGGAUCUUUAAUUCGCUCUUCAGUCCUUCCUUACAAUCUCAUAAAAAUAUAUAUAAUUUA